MicroRNA precursor from Cercocebus atys (sooty mangabey), 80 nucleotides. NCBI's taxonomy places the organism in Eukaryota, Metazoa, Chordata, Mammalia, Primates, Cercopithecidae. The record is from Ensembl.
UGCCGUGGGCCUGGGGAGGAGGAAGGGCAAGUCCAAAGGUAUACAGUUGGUCUGCUCCUUCUCUCUUUUUGGCCUACAAG